This 237-nucleotide ribosomal RNA is filed under the name uncultured bacterium. RNAcentral describes it as "partial 16S ribosomal RNA". It matches the Rfam family "Bacterial small subunit ribosomal RNA", at positions 99 to 334 of the family's 1533-position model. The record is from RNAcentral.
CGAACGGGUGAGUAACGCGUGAGGAACCUGCCUCAAAGAGGGGGACAACAGUUGGGAACGACUGCUAAUACCGCAUAAGCCCACGGCUCGGCAUCGAGCAGAGGGAAAAGGAGUGAUCCGCUUUGAGAUGGCCUCGCGUCCGAUUAGCUGGUUGGUGAGGUAACGGCCCACCAAGGCGACGAUCGGUAGCCGGACUGAGAGGUUGAACGGCCACAUUGGGACUGAGACACGGCCCAG